GAGGAAGCAGGAAGGGGGGAACAGGAACAAGAACAAGCUGAGCUGGGAAACAGAGAUGGAGAGAUUCCCCAGUUGGAAAGGAGAGAUACAAAAUGGGGGAGAUGUGAAUGAAAUCUCUCUCACAGCAACCACAACAAAACAUCCAGGUUAAAGAUCUCAGCACAUCACUUCUCAGCAACCUGCUUAUGUACACAAUACAAGUUCUACUGUUCCAAUAAAGCGUGGGUGGAGUAUCAUACUGUAUCAUCCCAAGACCCAGAAAUUGUGUAACAAUGCCUAGGAUUGAUCUUUUACCUUGACCCACACUGGC
This is a long non-coding RNA of Hemicordylus capensis (graceful crag lizard), 310 nucleotides long. RefSeq lists it as uncharacterized. The transcript is spliced from 3 exons. The record is from RefSeq and is a predicted model, not a curated record. Lineage: Eukaryota; Metazoa; Chordata; Lepidosauria; Squamata; Cordylidae.